RNAcentral lists this ribosomal RNA (578 nucleotides) under Glomeromycotina sp. RNAcentral describes it as "eukaryotic LSU rRNA". It matches the Rfam family "Eukaryotic large subunit ribosomal RNA", at positions 110 to 627 of the family's 3401-position model. The record is from RNAcentral. Lineage: Eukaryota; Fungi; Glomeromycota.
CAAAUUUAAAAUCUACCUGGUUUYCAGGUCGAGUUGUAAUUUGAAGAUACGUUUUUGACGUUCCGGGUUGAACUAAAUCCUUUGGGAUAAGGUAUCAUGGAGGGUGAGAAUCCCGUAUAUACCAACCGUAGGGAUGUUAUUUAAUACGUUUCUAAGAGUCGAGUUGUUUGGGAAUGCAGCUCUAAAUGGGUGGUAAAUUUCAYCUAAUGCUAAAUAUAAGCGAGAGACCGAUAGUGAACAAGUACAGUGAUGGAAAGAUGAAAAGAACUUUGAAAAGAGAGUUAAAUAGUACGUGAAAUUGUUGAAAGGGAAACGAUUGAAGUCAGUCAUGCCRGUGGGAAUCAACUUAGAGGAAACUCUGAGUGCACUUCUUCGCUUGGCAGGUCAACGUUGAUUUUGGAUGUCAUAAAAUGAUUGGGGGAAGGUAGCUCCUUCGGGAGUGUUAUAGCCCUUGGUAGAUGUGAUGUCUGGGAUCGAGGAUUGCAAUGGAUACCCUUUGGGGCUAGYCGCCUGAUCUCUAAUYGGUAUUGGGUUACGGAUAGCAUGCUGACCGUGAUCUAAUUAUUGGUUAAAAGGUU